CUUGGGUACUCGAGUGGCGAACGGGUGAGUAACACGUGGGUGAUCUGCCCUGCACUUCGGGAUAAGCCUGGGAAACUGGGUCUAAUACCGGAUAGGACCACAUUUUGGAUGGUGUGGUGGAAAGUUUUUCGGUGUUGGAUGAGCUCGCGGCCUAUCAGCUUGUUGGUGGGGUAAUGGCCUACCAAGGCGUCGACGGGUAGCCGGCCUGAGAGGGUGUACGGCCACAUUGGGACUGAGAUACGGCCCAG
Molecule: ribosomal RNA, 248 nt
Filed under: uncultured Actinomycetales bacterium
Lineage: Bacteria; Bacillati; Actinomycetota; Actinomycetes; Actinomycetales
Description: partial 16S ribosomal RNA
Rfam family: Bacterial small subunit ribosomal RNA
Source: RNAcentral